This is a long non-coding RNA of Mesocricetus auratus (golden hamster), 3157 nucleotides long. RefSeq lists it as uncharacterized. The record is from RefSeq and is a predicted model, not a curated record. NCBI's taxonomy places the organism in Eukaryota, Metazoa, Chordata, Mammalia, Rodentia, Cricetidae. The transcript is spliced from 3 exons.
UGCGACUCUCUCUCUCCCUGAUAAAUAAAUAUAUUGUUUUUCCCUAUAUAGCCUCGAUUACCGCGAUACCUGGUGUCAGAAGUGGGAUGGAAUUACAGCCCACGCCUGGGAAACCGCCUGAAUUCGGCAUCCCAAGGUACCCAAGUCACCCCUGACUCUGCAGAGGGCCCCAGCUAUAUGGCCUAACAUGGAUAGCACCUGACCUGACCUGGGCUUCGUGUACUGGGAUAAGGUGGCUUCCAGCAGAAGGUGUGGCCCAGAUCAAAGGUUCUCACCUCAAAAUCUGGAUUAAAGGCAGGUGUCUUCUGCCUCAAGAUCUGGAUCACAAGUGUGCCCUCAAUUUCUGGAUUGUAGUUCAUCCCAGAUACAGUCAGGUUGACAACCAAGAACAGCCAUCACCCUAGAAGGAGGAGAAAGCAACAUUUCCCCGGUCCUUUCAAACCUUCACACUGACAGAUGCAACUGCAGUGACCAGCACCUUGGGUCACCCUACUGUGGAUAGGCAGGAGGUCCCAGGAGAUGAGAACCAGGGCCUUCAGGGUGGACCAAGCCUUUGAUCUGCUUGGAGCGGAGGAAAGGGAGGUCUAAGGGCCUUGGUGUUGUGCCCUGGGGAACUCUGGAAAUGCUCAAGACUGAAGACUCCAGAGAGUUUUGAUACAGUUUGCGGUGGUUAAUCUUGACCGUCAACUUGAUGAGAUUUAGAGUCAUUGUGGAAAUGUCUCUGGGCAUGUCUGUAAGGGACUAUGCAGAUUAGGUUAACGGAGACGGGAGGAUACACCUUAAAUAUGAGCAGCAGUCCUGAUCCACAUAAAAGAGGAAAGCAAGCUGAGAACCAGCAUUCAUCUCUCUCUGCUGUCUGACUAGGGAUGCAGCGUCCAGCCACCAUGACUUCCUUCCCCACCGUGGUGGACCACACCCUGGAACUGUCAACCAAAAUGCACUCUCCCUUAAAUUGCUUUUUGACAGGGUAUGUUUUCAUAUCAAUAAGACAAGCAAUUGAUACAAAAUCCAAGACACCGCCUCAAGUAUGCUGGGUGCUGUUCACAGGGCCUCUAGCUGGGCUCACCAAGAGCUGCAAUCUCCUAGAUGGCCUAAACCCGAUCUCCAGAUGAUCCCUGAAAAGUGAGGUGACGCAGUGAUGAAGAGUGACCAGACUUGGACCUGAACCUCCCAGCCCUGCCCACUUACUUUUAGAGACACUUCCGAGCUUCUUGCCUGACGUCUGGGUCUGACUUCAUGAGUGAGAGGUUAUGAUGCAGAUUCCAAUAACAAGUAGGACAUAUGCAGGCCAGCUGCCUUCACCAUCCCUGGCCACCACCAAGGCCAGCUGCUGCUUUGUUGUCUGGGAUAGUUGUGUUGGGGUGGCAUCAUACAAAGACAGUCUUGACUCUUGCUGCUUUUUGGUAAGUAGUUCAUUUGCCGGGACAGGGUUGUUAUUGCUGGUGCGGUUACCUGGAAUUCCUACAGCACCAUCCCUUGCAGGAGGCUGGUCUGCUUGUGGGACCUCAUGGUUUCUUGUCCCUUCUUUCCUGGGACCUAACCCGCCUGCGCCAUCUUAGUUAGGUUUUUAUUGCUGUGGAAAGAUACCAUGAUCAUGGCAACUCUUAUAAAGGAAACAUUUAGUUGCAGUGACUGGCUUACAGUUCAGAGGUUCAGUCCAAUAUAGCAGGGAGCAUGGCGGCAUCAGGCAGGCAUGGCGCAGGAGAAAUAUCUGAGUGUCCUAUAUCUUGCAGACAAGAAGUCAACUCGCUGACACACUGAGUGAAUCUUGAGAAAAAGACCUCAAGGCCCACCCCCACAGUGACAGACUUUCAACAGAAGGUGUGGCCUGGAUUAAAGGUGUGCCCUCUAGACUCAAAGUCUGGAUUACAGGCAUGUGUCAUCCAGCCUCCUCCAACCAACAAGACCACACUCCCUCCUUCAAGGCCUCUCCCUAUGAGCUUAUGGGGACUAAAUACAUUUAAACUACCACACACACCCCAAAAAGCCACUUUGGGUCUCAUGUCCUUGUUGCCAAGUGAGGCUUUUUCUUGGAGGUGUCCAAGAUUGACAGAAACAGAAGCUUCAGGAGGACCAUAGGCAUUUCAAGGAAGCUAAGAACUUAGUGUCUUAUGUAUCUUCUAUACUAUGUCUCAUACAUGUGCAUUUUUAUACACACACACACACACAUCCACAUUGGGUGUAUACACUCGCACACAUGUACAAGCUCAUAUUCAAUGAACAAAUAGACACCUGUAUGCCUCUGUGUAAGUUUACAUAACAAUUGACAAAGGCUUGCAGAUUAAUCUGUGGACUCGUGCAUUUAUGGAUACACCCACAUGUAAACAUAUGCACUCAUAUACACAUAUACAUGAAUGUCCACUGUACACACACUCAUAUGCAUAUUAUGAAAUGGGCACAUUCAUCUACAUCUACCUCACUGUAGAUCUGAGCUGCUGGUACCACAAAAGUUAGGCUCAGUGGGAGCACAGGAAUCAGUGUUGUGCUGUAAACAUGCUACAUCAGCCUGGGAUGUGGCAUCUCAGCCAGAGGCUGCGCUGCCAGGAUAAGCAUAUCUGUGAGCCCAGUUAGGGGUAGGGCAGGACUCUAGGGGUCAGGAUGCUCAGACUUGCCGUUCUGCAGACUUGCUGGGUCAGAGCCUUUUUGCUCAUUGGGCUCUUGGACCAGGCACACUUACACACUUAGUGCCUGAGUGUCACCAGCUGGACAUACCAGUGAGAGAGGGUACCCUGUAACAAGGAUGAGGCUGCCUCUGGUGAUGCAUCUGUCACACAGGGCUAGGCUCUAUGGUGGUCAGCAUUGGAGCAACAGGAACAUGGGCCUCAGAGGAUGGGAGGUGUAUCCAUAUCUCUCCUCUUUUUCUGAGGACACCACCCACUCCAGUGUGGCCUCAUCUUAACUGGAUAUCCCAAACAAGGUCACCUUUGAAGUUCCAUGCAGACUUGAAUGCUGGGGGUGAGAGGUUACUGCUCACCCCAGUACAGCAGGGAAAAACAUCAGAAUGGCUGGGACUUCUCUAAGGGAACCUUGGCCUCAGAAUUCAUGUCUCUAAGGAAGAGAACCGACUGGUCCAGACACCUCUCAGAGCACUGUGGUAGAAGCCAGAUUUCUUGGAUUAAUUUCACCUUUUCCAAUAAAUUUCUUCCAUGUUACUAAA